RNAcentral lists this ribosomal RNA (879 nucleotides) under Alanphillipsia aloetica. RNAcentral describes it as "eukaryotic LSU rRNA". It matches the Rfam family "Eukaryotic large subunit ribosomal RNA", at positions 66 to 963 of the family's 3401-position model. Lineage: Eukaryota; Fungi; Ascomycota; Dothideomycetes; Botryosphaeriales; Botryosphaeriaceae. The record is from RNAcentral.
CAACAGGGAUUGCCUUAGUAACGGCGAGUGAAGCGGCAACAGCUCAAAUUUGAAAGCUGGCCCUCUCAGGGUCCGCGUUGUAAUUUGUAGAGGAUGAUUCGGCGAGGGCUCCCGCCUAAGUCCCCUGGAACGGGGCGUCAUAGAGGGUGAGAAUCCCGUAUGCGGUGGGCUGCCUUAGCCAUGUGAAUCUCCUUCGACGAGUCGAGUUGUUUGGGAAUGCAGCUCUAAAUUGGAGGUAAAUUUCUUCUAAAGCUAAAUACUGGCCAGAGACCGAUAGCGCACAAGUAGAGUGAUCGAAAGAUGAAAAGCACUUUGGAAAGAGAGUUAAAAAGCACGUGAAAUUGUUGAAAGGGAAGCGCUUGCAACCAGACUUGUCCGCAGUUGCUCAGCCGGUCUCCUGACCGGCGUACUCUUCUGCGGCCAGGCCAGCAUCAGUUCGGGCGGUCGGAUAAAGACCCCGGGAAUGUGGCUCCCCUCGGGGAGUGUUAUAGCCCGGGGUGGAAUGCGGCCAGCCUGGACUGAGGAACUCGCUUCGGCAAGGAUGCUGGCGUAAUGGUUGUAAGCGGCCCGUCUUGAAACACGGACCAAGGAGUCUAACAUCUAUGCGAGUGUUUGGGUGUCAAACCCAUACGCGUAAUGAAAGUGAACGGAGGUGGGAACCCGCAAGGGCGCACCAUCGGCCGAUCCUGAUGUCUUCGGAUGGAUUUGAGCAAGAGCAUAGCUGUUGGGACCCGAAAGAUGGUGAACUAUGCCUGAAUAGGGUGAAGCCAGAGGAAACUCUGGUGGAGGCUCGCAGCGGUUCUGACGUGCAAAUCGAUCGUCAAAUUUGGGUAUAGGGGCGAAAGACUAAUCGAACCAUCUAGUAGCUGGUUCCUGCCU